GUUAUUAUGGCAGAUUAGUGUAUUAAUUUUAGGAAUUAAUUAAGUGUAAUUUUUUAUUAUUCUAAUAAUA
This 70-nucleotide transfer RNA is filed under the name Ganaspini sp. ZJUH 20220007. RNAcentral's name for it is "tRNA-Leu". The record is from RNAcentral. Lineage: Eukaryota; Metazoa; Arthropoda; Insecta; Hymenoptera; Figitidae.